RNAcentral lists this long non-coding RNA (514 nucleotides) under Homo sapiens (human). Its description in RNAcentral is "non-protein coding ZFHX4-AS1:19". Lineage: Eukaryota; Metazoa; Chordata; Mammalia; Primates; Hominidae. The record is from RNAcentral.
AGAUUUCCUGGUGAACCUGCCUCUGUCUGAGAGGGUGUCUCACCGAACGGUAGCUAAAACCUCACCAGAACCGCGCGGAAGUGAGAAGUCGCGGCCAAAGGCGCCCGCAGAAGCCUCCUCUCUGGGCCGGACCCCAGCCCGAGCGGCCGAAAGGAGCCCCCCGCCCGGAUCACAGCUGCUGCAGCUGCCGCUGAAAUUCGCUGUGGCCGCUGCCUCUUCCCGCUUUAAUCCCAGACCUCCAGUCAUUGGGCAGCUCCUCAGAGGCAAGAAGUCAACACCAUGGCAACCCGACAAGCCUAUCAAAUCACCGGCUGGCGUGACAGCAGCAACACUGCAGGCAGGAGUGGGCUGGGCGGAAGAGCAGAGUGGCCACUGCGCUCAGUCUUAGAAGUUUACAAGGAAAGGGGAAAUGUCUGAAAUGGAGAUUGCACAAUCCUGUCUUGAAGCAGAAGACUCAGCUAGAGCACAUCUGGAAACACCUGGCACUCCUCAAUAGAAUUCAAAUGCUAUUUUA